Molecule: RNase P RNA, 404 nt
Filed under: pig gut metagenome
Description: Bacterial RNase P class A
Rfam family: Bacterial RNase P class A
About the family: Ribonuclease P (RNase P) is a ubiquitous endoribonuclease, found in archaea, bacteria and eukarya as well as chloroplasts and mitochondria. Its best characterised activity is the generation of mature 5'-ends of tRNAs by cleaving the 5'-leader elements of precursor-tRNAs. Cellular RNase Ps are ribonucleoproteins.
Source: RNAcentral
GUAGGACAAAUGAUCGCGGCUGUCCAUGGACAGGUGAGGAAAGUCCGGGCUUCGCAGGGCAGGAUGCCGGAUAACGUCCGGUGGAGGUGACUCCAAGGCAAGUGCAACAGAAAUAUACCGCCAUUUAUAGUGCCUUAGGGCACCACAGAGAAUCCUGUUUACAGGAUUCUCUAAAAGGUUCAGCUAUGCUGAACCGAUGGUGAGGGUGGAAAGGCAGUGUAAGAGACUACCGCCUGCACGGUAACGGGCAGGGCACAUGUAAACCCCAUCCGAAGCAAGACCAAAUAGAAAGCGUUUGAAGCCGGCCCGGUGAGCUUUCAGGUAGGUCGCUUGAGGCUGCUGGUAACGGCAGUCCUAGAUAGAUGAUCAUUCAACGACAUAACCCGGCUUAUCGUCCUGCUUGA